GCACUCGUAGCCCAGUGGUUAGGCGACGCACGUACACAGAUACCUGUAUGUGGUAAUCCGGAGAUCUUAGAUCAAAUCCGAGCGAGAUGCG
This is a non-coding RNA of Podospora didyma, 91 nucleotides long. NCBI's taxonomy places the organism in Eukaryota, Fungi, Ascomycota, Sordariomycetes, Sordariales, Podosporaceae. The record is from the annotation of a GenBank genome assembly.